This 69-nucleotide antisense RNA is filed under the name Streptomyces bingchenggensis BCW-1. Its description in RNAcentral is "ASpks TB sRNA". It matches the Rfam family "ASpks TB sRNA". Lineage: Bacteria; Bacillati; Actinomycetota; Actinomycetes; Kitasatosporales; Streptomycetaceae. The record is from Rfam by way of RNAcentral.
CUUGAACGACCCCAGCCACAGCGGCUCCGUCCGCUCCUGCCCGUAUGUCGCCAGCAGCGCCUGCGCCUC